Molecule: long non-coding RNA, 2115 nt
Organism: Equus asinus (donkey)
Lineage: Eukaryota; Metazoa; Chordata; Mammalia; Perissodactyla; Equidae
Source: Ensembl
GAUUUUUAGAUUUUUUUUCAUAGUUUCCAGUGAGGCCAAGCACACUGGGUUGGUGCUAGUCCCACAUUAUUUUAAGCUGCAGUUUGUAGGGUUGUUUUAGUGUGUUUGGUAUGUGCCCCAUCUCUCCAGCUAGACGGCAGAGGAGGUUAUGAGCCUGAUGCCCAGGACACAGAUGACCGUGAUAGGCCCACCCCUGAUUCCCACAAGCAAUCAGAUGGCUUAAGUUCCUACAACUUCAGACGGGGGGGAAAAAGCCCUGUGGCUAACAACCCUCUAUGUACUCUCUCUGCCCGUUUUACAGAUGAAGAAACAGAACGGAGCUUAAGUAGCGAAGGAACCUGGCGAAGGUCAAUCCCCACGAUUGUUGGCACUCCUCUGGUGUGAGCGUGUCUGCUGUGGCAAUAAGUGGGUGAUGCUCACUUUCUCAUGCAAACUCUUCAUAAACCCUCCAUCCAAUGGUCUAAGUCCACAUCCUCAAGGGGUAAUUCAGCAUAAACAGCGCUGCGCCUUGUCAUCGGGCAUCUGACGUCUGUUCACUCAAGACUCUGCACUGAGGCAGUCCUCAAAUUUACCAUCAAGGUGGGCAAUAACAGGCUGCCGGCGAUCACUAUUACUGACUGCAUCUCCAAAUCCUGGGUGUCAACUAUCGCAAGGAGCAACCAAACACCACCUUCUCUGAUUAAAACUCUGGAUUGUUCCACCUGUACGGUCUUUUUAUUCUAUGGGAAGGACCUAGACACUCUGGAGAAUACAAAUCUGUGAGGCAUGGAGAGGUGAGGAAUGUCGACUUCCCAGUCCAGGUUCGCCAUGACCUCAAGCGUGAAUUCAAACCCUGUCUUCACUGAUUCACUGUACACUUGAACUGGGAGCCUGCAAACCCCACGAUGCCUUCAGGCUCAUCUGCUGAGCCCCCACGGCCCUGCUGUCAGCAUUCCUUUCCACAGCAACGGGGACCUUGCACUGACUGACAUCCUCUCUGUGACCAGCUGGCCGCAGCACAGCCCGCCAAUUCUCCAGAUCACAGACUUUAAACAAAACAAAAUUAAAACUCUCCAAUUUCUAGAGGAAAACACAGGAGAAGAUCUUUGCAACUCUGGAGUUGGCAAAGGUCUUAGGACACAAAAGGCAGUAAUUACAAAAGGAAACAUUGAUAAACUGGACUUUUUCAAAAUUAAAACUUAUUCCUUUUCAAAAGAUGCUGUUAAGAAAAUGAAAAGGUAAGCUUCAGACUGGGAAAAAAUGUUCACAAUACACGUAUCUAACAAACAGCCAAAAUAUAUAAAGAAUGUUACAACCCAAGAAAGGAUAAAUGGUUUCAAUUUUGUUAAAUGGGCAAAUGAGUGAACAGACACUUCACCGAACAAGAAUGGCCAAUAAACACAUGAACACAUGCUCGACAUCAUUUGCCAUCAAAGAAAUGCCACGUUACAACCAUGAGAUAACGUCUCACACCCCCUAGAAAGCCUAAAACUAGUAAAACUUACACCCCCAGGUGUUGCUGAGGACGUGGAGGGAUCGCCGUGCGGUCCGAUGGGAGCGUGAAGCCGUGUAAAGCGCUCUGGAAGACAGUCUGGCAGCUCCCUACACAGCUCAGCAUAUGCUUACCAGACUCCUAGAUACCCGCCCAGGAGAAAUGAAACGUUCACCACACAAACACUUGUACACAAACAUGCACAGUAGCUUCAUACAUAACAGCCCCAAAAGAUCAGAAAGACCCCAGAAGUCCAGCAACAGGGGAUGGAAGCAAACUACUGAUACAUUCAUAUAAUGGAAUACUACGUGGCACUGAAAAUGACUACUGAUAUGCAAAGCAACACGGAAAAAUUCCAGAAACAUUAAACUGAGCAAAAGCAGUCAGAAUCAAAAGAGCACACACUAUACGAUUCUAUUUAUAUGAAACUUCAAGAGACAAAACUCACCUCCGGUGACAGAAAACUGAGUCAGUGAUUGCCUGGGGCAGGGGAGGAGGCUAGGCUGUAAACAGGUGAGAAGGAGCUCCCUGUGGUGCUGGAAUGUUCUAGACCUUGAUUGGGGUAGGAUUUCUCCAGGUCUCUCCACUGUCAGAUCUCAGGAAGCCUACCUUUGAAGUGCCUGCAUUUUCUUGUAUGUAAAUUA